UUGUGGACUGCUGUAUUAAUGGCACAAUGCCAUCCACUCUUGCUGCUCUCUGAAUAUAGGUCGCUUGUUGAAAUGAGAUAUGCUUGUCCAUCAUGGACCAGAAUUUGAUGUGAUAUGAAGUGAAAUCUUUCUUCUGUUUGCCAGUCUGUAAAUUGUCUAGGUGAAUAGUCCUGAGGAAAAUUUAUGAUGAACUAGCACAUUCAGUACUCGCCGCUUGUGGGAGAGAAGGAAACAAGUCGUUUUAUACUGACAUGUAGUAAAUCUAUGUAGAUAUAGCUGUAUUGGCUUAUGUGUUGUGGAGGGCCUUUUGUACAAAACACGUGCUUGUAAAUGUUCUGUAUGGAUAACACAGAUUUGGGUGCCUGUGAUCUUUGUCUAUGUAUUAUUCUGCAUCCUGUAUCUGGGAAUAGGGUCUGGGAAUAGGGACAAAGUUCAAAAGUUAUGCCUGGGGUAUUGACUAUAGCAGAAACUAUGCUCUUGUUGAGAUAUCCAUGUUAUGUUGAUAGGUGCAUGUCUUACCAUCUUUAAUUCUUUAAAAAAUCAGCUGAAUCAGGGCCUCUAUGAGCCUGUUUCAUUGAUGAGUCCCUCUAUAUAAUAGCUGAGGUAUUGAAAAUUGAUUUGACGAUUGUAGUGCCAAACAAGAAGGAAUAAAGGCAGAUCCCAUUCAAUUGAGGCACUUUCUUGAUUUUCUUAAAUGUAGAAAGCUCCAGACAGAGACUUUCUUUAUUGGGCCAAACCAAUACCUUGUCACAUCAAUCCAUGAGAAUUGGUUCAGUGCAAGAUGCAUGAGCACAUCAAAUUCUGCUGGUGAAGGAGCUAUUGUCAUGCAGACAACGGCUUUCAUCUUGGUGGCACUGUAUGAUGGUUCAAUUGGAGUGGCAUCGGGUGCUGUAAUGGCUGCUGAUCAAUUUGCAUGGCAGCCAAAUUGAAGAAACCUUUGACCUUGCAGUGAAGUUGAAAUUAUGGAGAUCCUGAUAAUCCAGUGAAUCCAUUCAGCAAAUCUGUCAUUGAUGGCAAGGGG
Molecule: long non-coding RNA, 1021 nt
Organism: Eucalyptus grandis
Lineage: Eukaryota; Viridiplantae; Streptophyta; Magnoliopsida; Myrtales; Myrtaceae
Exons: 4
Source: RefSeq, a predicted model, not a curated record